GAUGAACGCUGGCGGCGUGCUUAACACAUGCAAGUCGAACGAUGAAGCCCAGCUUGCUGGGUGGAUUAGUGGCGAACGGGUGAGUAACACGUGAGUAACCUGCCCUUGACUCUGGGAUAAGCCUGGGAAACUGGGUCUAAUACUGGAUAUGACUUCCCAUCGCAUGGUGGGGGGUGGAAAGAUUUAUUGGUCUUGGAUGGACUCGCGGCCUAUCAGCUUGUUGGUGAGGUAAUGGCUCACCAAGGCGACGACGGGUAGCCGGCCUGAGAGGGUGACCGGCCACACUGGGACUGAGACACGGCCCAGACUCCUACGGGAGGCAGCAGUGGGGAAUAUUGCACAAUGGGCGCAAGCCUGAUGCAGCGACGCCGCGUGAGGGAUGACGGCCUUCGGGUUGUAAACCUCUUUCAGUAGGGAAGAAGCGAGAGUGACGGUACCUGCAGAAGAAGCGCCGGCUAACUACGUG
Molecule: ribosomal RNA, 466 nt
Filed under: uncultured bacterium
Lineage: Bacteria
Description: partial 16S ribosomal RNA
Rfam family: Bacterial small subunit ribosomal RNA
Source: RNAcentral